GGAAUCUUAGACAAUGGGCGCAAGCCUGAUCUAGCCAUGCCGCGUGAGUGACGAAGGCCUUAGGGUCGUAAAGCUCUUUCGCCAGAGAUGAUAAUGACAGUAUCUGGUAAGAAAACCCCGGCUAACUCCGUGC
This 133-nucleotide ribosomal RNA is filed under the name uncultured bacterium. RNAcentral describes it as "partial 16S rRNA". It matches the Rfam family "Bacterial small subunit ribosomal RNA", at positions 358 to 508 of the family's 1533-position model. The record is from RNAcentral.